Molecule: non-coding RNA, 28 nt
Filed under: Rattus norvegicus (Norway rat)
Lineage: Eukaryota; Metazoa; Chordata; Mammalia; Rodentia; Muridae
Source: RNAcentral
UGGUCAAUAAAGCAGUGCUCACUUGGCC